AACUGUGAGUGUGUGCUGCACAUGUCUGACACCAGCUAAUAAAUCAGUGAAUUCAUCCGCUUUCCGCAAGCACUUGUUCUCCUAUCGACUGAAUGAUGUUUGUACGUGUCCACGUGUGUGUUCGUGCACGUUCGAGCCUGUCGCGGACUCGCUGGCUUUAAAACACCAUCAUCCCGCAACCUGCCAGACGAGUCCCACCAGUUUUGUUGAAAAAGUGGAAGAGGCUCCAUAUCGUGGCACGCCGUUGUCUUUUUAAGAUAAUGAGGGGAUGGAGGUGUGUGUCACACACUUAUCAACAAGCAUUUUCCUUCUCAAAGGACAAUGUAAUAGAGCCUUGGGACGAGAAAGCUGAGUCCACAGAGGAGAUGCCUGACAGUCUCUUGCUGGUGUUGUCUUUGCUCUCAAGGGACUCCUCUUUGACAUUGCUAAAACUGCGUGAGAAGCCGGGGUCGAUCUGACACAGCAACUCAGAGAGGCUGCAGUCUUUCUCAGGUAUGCCAGCGGAAGAAGAUUUGUGAACAUUCAUGCAUAGAGAUCCAUCUGAUAUUACCUGUUCACUGGAGGCUGGAGCAGGGCAGGGGGAACAUUCUGGUUCUGAAGAAAUGGAAGCUCUGGAUUCAUCAUGAGGUUUGGUGCACAG
This is a long non-coding RNA of Ctenopharyngodon idella (grass carp), 640 nucleotides long. RefSeq lists it as uncharacterized. The record is from RefSeq and is a predicted model, not a curated record. The transcript has 3 exons. NCBI's taxonomy places the organism in Eukaryota, Metazoa, Chordata, Actinopteri, Cypriniformes, Xenocyprididae.